AUCUCUCUCUCUCUCUCUCUCCACUACAAACAAUCAAGCUUGUUCUUUGAUCAUCGAUCGCUCAUGUACGGCAGUUGAGGGGAAUGUUGUCUGGUUGGAGACCUAACACCGCGAAUUAAUCAUCCAUGCCAUGGAAGCAGCAUAUGCCCGCCUGCAUCUAUCCAUGCAUGAUGGUGGAAGGUUUCGGACCAGGCUUCAUUCCCCCCAACUCAACACUCAGCUGCGUCGCUCUUCCGUCUCCGAUCCGAAUACACCGGCCGGCGGACGACGAUGACGACCACGACGGCGGCGGCGCUUCCUCAAGGCUCGCUCUGUUGGCCUGUCCUAGCUAGGAACCGUUCCGUCCCAUGCAUAUGAUCGAACGACAACUCUUUCUCCAGGUACGACUAAUCGCCACCGGAAUAUACUUCUCCUCUCGAUCGGUAUAAUAUAUAACACCGCAUCUCGCUCCUUGAUACUGUCAUAAAUUAGAUCGUCUUUCCAUGCAUCAUGAUCUAGCCAAGUCUCAGACUGUCACUGAAUAACAUUGAAAAUGCUUCGGUUCUUUAA
This 549-nucleotide small RNA is filed under the name Zea mays. RNAcentral describes it as "MIR166gHG, transcript variant 2 (LOC115032966)". The stretch from base 74 to 209 matches the Rfam family "mir-166 microRNA precursor family". Lineage: Eukaryota; Viridiplantae; Streptophyta; Magnoliopsida; Poales; Poaceae. The record is from RNAcentral.